AACGAACGCUGGCGGCAUGCUUAACACAUGCAAGUCGAACGAGACCUUCGGGUCUAGUGGCGCACGGGUGCGUAACGCGUGGGAACUUGCCCUUAGGUUCCGAAUAACUCCCCGAAAGGGGUGUUAAUACCGGAUAAUCUCUUAGGACCAAAGAUCUAUUGCCUUGGGAUGGGCGUGCGUUGGAUUAGCUAGUUGGUAGGGUAAAAGCCUACCAAGGCGACGAUUGAUAGCUGGUCUGGGAGGAUGAUCAGCCACGCUGGAACUGAGACACGGCCCAGACUCCUACGGAAGGGAGGAGAGGAGAGUAUAGGGCGAUGAACGAAAAUCUGGUCAAGCAGUGCCGGGUGAGUGGUGAAUGCGUUAGGAUUGUAAAGCUGUUUUAGCCGAGAUGAUAGUGACAGUACCGGGCGAAUAAGCUCCGGCUAACUCCGUG
Molecule: ribosomal RNA, 433 nt
Filed under: uncultured bacterium
Lineage: Bacteria
Description: partial 16S ribosomal RNA
Rfam family: Bacterial small subunit ribosomal RNA
Source: RNAcentral